This is a long non-coding RNA of Pogoniulus pusillus (Red-fronted tinkerbird), 396 nucleotides long. RefSeq lists it as uncharacterized. Lineage: Eukaryota; Metazoa; Chordata; Aves; Piciformes; Lybiidae. The record is from RefSeq and is a predicted model, not a curated record. The transcript is spliced from 2 exons.
GGGUUUCUUGAAGAUCAAAGCCCACGCUGCAGUGGUCCCGGCGCAGUUCUUAGCGAGUUGGCACACGCACCACGGAACCCCUCGGGAUGGCUGUGCUUUGGGAGAGCCAUAGACUCGGCGCCUGGCAGGAUUCUGAGCAGCCCCGAGUGCCUGCAAGCCGCCUGGGGAAGGAAAACCUCACACAUUCGCUGAGAGAAGUUCAUUCUCUUUCCCUUUUACACGAAGGAUUCAGCAAAUCAACCGAUCAUAUGAGGCAGAUCCGAGACGUGUUUUAGAACAACUUCUUUCUGGUAUUCCUCUUGGAAGCAGAAGAACGAGGCAAGGGUUAAAAGGACUGGAAGUGAGGAAAUCUGAGAUCAAACCUUGCCUAUCUAUAAGACACUAAAUAAAUUAACA